UGUAAGCGUAUACCAAAGUUGUUGCAGUUAAAACGCUCGUAGUCGGACUUUGGCAGUUCCGGAUGUGUGCACGUCGUGUGCGCACUUCGCGGGGAUUGCUUUUGUGGUCUUGCGUAGGAUGAGGCACUUUUAUUAGUGAACGUCCUCACGCAACCACUUUUUACUGUGAGAAAAUCAGAGUGCUCAAAGCAGGCAUUUGCCGUGAAUGUAUUAGCAUGGAAUAAUAGAAUAGGACUUGGUUCUAUUUUGCUGGUUUGUUGGGACUGAGUAAUGAUUAAGAGGGACAGUUGGGGGCAUUUGUAUUUCGGUGCUAGAGGUGAAAUUCUUAGAUUACCGAAAGACAAACUGCUGCGAAAGCGUCUGCCAAGGAUGUUUUCAUUGA
Molecule: ribosomal RNA, 382 nt
Filed under: uncultured eukaryote
Lineage: Eukaryota
Description: partial 18S ribosomal RNA
Rfam family: Eukaryotic small subunit ribosomal RNA
Source: RNAcentral